Molecule: ribosomal RNA, 1017 nt
Filed under: uncultured Halalkalicoccus sp.
Lineage: Archaea; Methanobacteriati; Methanobacteriota; Halobacteria; Halobacteriales; Halalkalicoccaceae
Description: bacterial SSU rRNA
Rfam family: Archaeal small subunit ribosomal RNA
Source: RNAcentral
GAUUAUUCCGGUUGAUCCUGCCGGAGGCCAUUGCUAUUGGAGUCCGAUUUAGCCAUGCUAGUCGCACGGGUUCAGACCCGUGGCGAAUAGCUCCGUAACACGUGGCCAAACUACCCUAUGGAUCGGAAUAACCUCGGGAAACUGAGGCUAAUACCGAAUACCGCUCUCACGUUGGAAUUACAGAGAGCACGAAACGCUCCGGCGCCGUAGGAUGUGGCUGCGGCCGAUUAGGUAGACGGUGGGGUAACGGCCCACCGUGCCGAUAAUCGGUACGGGUUGUGAGAGCAAGAACCCGGAGACGGUAUCUGAGACAAGAUACCGGGCCCUACGGGGCGCAGCAGGCGCGAAACCUUUACACUGCACGAACGUGCGAUAAGGGGACUCCAAGUGCGAGGGCAUACAGUCCUCGCUUUUCCCUACCGUAAGGUGGUAGGUGAAUAAGAGCUGGGCAAGACCGGUGCCAGCCGCCGCGGUAAUACCGGCAGCUCGAGUGAUGGCCAAUAUUAUUGGGCCUAAAGCGUCCGUAGCUGGCCGAACAGGUCCGUCGGGAAAUCCGCUCGCUCAACGAGCGGACGUCCGGCGGACACCAGUCGGCUUGGGACCGGAAGACCCGAGGGGUACGUCCGGGGUAGGAGUGAAAUCCUGUAAUCCUGGACGGACCACCGGUGGCGAAAGCGCCUCGGGAGGACGGAUCCGACAGUGAGGGACGAAAGCUUGGGUCACGAACCGGAUUAGAUACCCGGGUAGUCCAAGCUGUAAACGAUGCUCGCUAGGUGUGGCACUGGCUACGAGCCAGUGCUGUGCCGUAGGGAAGCCGAGAAGCGAGCCGCCUGGGAAGUACGUCCGCAAGGAUGAAACUUAAAGGAAUUGGCGGGGGAGCACUACAACCGGAGGAGCCUGCGGUUUAAUUGGACUCAACGCCGGACAUCUCACCAGCACCGACAGUGUGCGAUGAAGAUCAGUGUAAUGAGCUUAUUGGAGCCACUGAGAGGAGGUGCAUGGCCGCCGUCAGCUCGU